GUGUGGGGGACAUUCCACGUUUUCCGCGCCGUAGCUAACGCAUUAAGUGCCCCGCCUGGGGAGUACGGCCGCAAGGCUAAAACUCAAAGGAAUUGACGGGGGCCCGCACAAGCGGCGGAGCAUGCGGAUUAAUUCGAUGCAACGCGAAGAACCUUACCAAGGCUUGACAUGAACCGGAAUGAUGCAGAGAUGUGUCAGCCACUUGUGGCCGGUUUACAGGUGGUGCAUGGUUGUCGUCAGCUCGUGUCGUGAGAUGUUGGGUUAAGUCCCGCAACGAGCGCAACCCUCGUUCCAUGUUGCCAGCGGGUUAUGCCGGGGACUCAUGGGAGACUGCCGGGGUCAACUCGGAGGAAGGUGGGGACGACGUCAAAUCAUCAUGCCCCUUAUGUCUUGGGCUUCACGCAUGCUACAAUGGCCGGUACAAAGGGUUGCGAUACUGUGAGGUGGAGCUAAUCCCAAAAAGCCGGUCUCAGUUCGGAUUGAGGUCUGCAACUCGACCUCAUGAAGUUGGAGUCGCUAGUAAUCGCAGAUCAGCAACGCUGCGGUGAAUACGUUCCCGGGCCUUGUACACACCGCCCGUCAAGUCACGAAAGUUGGUAACACCCGAAGCCGGUGGCCUAACCCCUUGUGGGAGGGAGCCGUCGAAGGUGGGGCUG
This 656-nucleotide ribosomal RNA is filed under the name uncultured bacterium. RNAcentral's name for it is "bacterial SSU rRNA". It matches the Rfam family "Bacterial small subunit ribosomal RNA", at positions 820 to 1470 of the family's 1533-position model. The record is from RNAcentral.